Molecule: long non-coding RNA, 412 nt
Organism: Callorhinus ursinus (northern fur seal)
Lineage: Eukaryota; Metazoa; Chordata; Mammalia; Carnivora; Otariidae
Source: RefSeq, a predicted model, not a curated record
GCGGCCAAUGUGGAGAGACUUAGGAUCCACCUCCUUCCCAGCUGAGAGCACACAACACAGCAUCCACUGGAAGUGAUUAUCAAGAAGAUGAGAAAAUUCUACAUGGAGAUAUUCUACCUCUGAAAGUCUGAGAUUGUUUGUUGAAGAGGGUAGCUGUUCCCCCUAACCCUCAUCAACGUCUAAGAUAGAAGUUGAGGUUUCCAGAUGAGUAAACUGAAGCACAGUGAUUAACAUGCCCAAGGUCGCCCAGUAGACUUAUUAAACCCAUUAUUUGUAAACUUGGAAGAGAAUGAUGAAAAUAAUAUUUUAGAAAGAUUAAUCUAGAUGAUGGUGAUGUGCAGAGUUAAAAUCCAAAUGUGAGGUAAGAAGGGAAUGGAAUGGAAGGAACAGGUAUAACUUUAACAAAAAUGGC